This 383-nucleotide ribosomal RNA is filed under the name uncultured eukaryote. RNAcentral's name for it is "partial 18S ribosomal RNA". It matches the Rfam family "Eukaryotic small subunit ribosomal RNA", at positions 592 to 976 of the family's 1831-position model. The record is from RNAcentral.
CAAUAGCGUAUAUUAAAGUUGUUGCAGUUAAAAAGCUCGUAGUUGGAUUUCUGGUAGGAGUGACUGUCCCAGACUUGAUUGUCUGUGUAUUGUGUUGUCUCCAGCCAUCCUUGUGGAGAACUUUUCUUGCAUUAAUUUGUAGGGAUUGGGACCCGCAUCGUUUACUGUGAAAAAAUUAGAGUGUUUAAAGCAGGCAAUCGCUUGAAUACAUUAGCAUGGAAUAAUAAGAUAGGACUUUGGUACUAUUUUGUUGGUUUGCAUACCAAAUUAAUGAUCAACAGGAACAGUUUGAGGAUAUUCGUAUGAACAUGUCAGAGGUGAAAUUCUUGGAUUUUGAUCAGACGAACUACUGCGAAAGCAUUUAUCAAGGAUGUUUUCAUUAA